RNAcentral lists this ribosomal RNA (377 nucleotides) under Asphondylia verbasci. RNAcentral's name for it is "partial 12S ribosomal RNA". Lineage: Eukaryota; Metazoa; Arthropoda; Insecta; Diptera; Cecidomyiidae. The record is from RNAcentral.
UUUAAAAUUAUUUAAAAGCGACGGGCAAUAUGUAUAUAUUUUUUUAAAAAAUUAAAAUAUUAAAUAUAUAAAAUUUUAAUUUUAAAUCCAUUUUCAAUUAAAUAUUAAAAUUUAAUAUUCAAAUAAAAUUAUUUUAAUGUAUUUCAUUUUAAUCUUAAUUUUAAAAUAUAUUAUGAUUUGAAUUAUUUUUUAUAAUAAAAAUUAUUAAUAAUUUUUUAAUAUUAAUUAAACAACAAUAUAUAAUUUUAUAAAUUAAGUAUAUUAUAUUGUGUAUUAUCAAUUAAUAAACAAAAUCCUCUAAUUUUAAAAAAUACUACCAAAUUAUUUAAUUUUUUAAAAAUAAAUUAUAAUUAUUAAAAUAAUAAAAUUAUAUAAUA